RNAcentral lists this ribosomal RNA (254 nucleotides) under uncultured bacterium. Its description in RNAcentral is "partial 16S ribosomal RNA". It matches the Rfam family "Bacterial small subunit ribosomal RNA", at positions 524 to 776 of the family's 1533-position model. The record is from RNAcentral.
CACGUAGGGUGCGAGCGUUGUCCGGAAUUAUUGGGCGUAAAGAGCUCGUAGGCGGUGUGUCGCGUCGGCCGUGAAAACCUGCAGCUUAACUGUGGGCGUGCGGUCGAUACGGGCAUCACUGGAGUUCGGCAGGGGAGACUGGAAUUCCUGGUGUAGCGGUGAAAUGCGCAGAUAUCAGGAGGAACACCGGUGGCGAAGGCGGCAUUCUGGACCGACAUUGACGCUGAGGAGCGAAAGCCAGGGGAGCAAACGGG